UGGGGAAUAUUGGGGCAAUGGGCGCAAGCCUGACCCAGCAACGCCGCGUGAAGGAAGAAGGCUUUCGGGUUGUAAACUUCUUUUAUCAGGGACGAAACAAAUGACGGUACCUGAAGAAUAAGCCACGGCUAACUACGUGCCAGCAGCCGCGGUAAUACGUAGGUGGCGAGCGUUAUCCGGAUUUACUGGGUGUAAAGGGCGCGUAGGCGGGAAGGUAAGUCAGAUGUGAAAUCUAUGGGCUUAACCCAUAAACUGCAUUUGAAACUGUUUUCUUGAGUGAUGGAGAGGCAAGCGGAAUUCCUAGUGUAGCGGUGAAAUGCGUAGAUAUUAGGAGGAACACCAGUGGCGAAGGCGGCUUGCUGGACAUUAACUGACGCUGAGGCGCGAAAGCGUGGGGAGCAAACAGGAUUAGAUACCCUGGUAGU
Molecule: ribosomal RNA, 425 nt
Filed under: uncultured Clostridium sp.
Lineage: Bacteria; Bacillati; Bacillota; Clostridia; Eubacteriales; Clostridiaceae
Description: bacterial SSU rRNA
Rfam family: Bacterial small subunit ribosomal RNA
Source: RNAcentral